UGUAGCUCAGUGGUAGAGCAUUUUGCCUAGCAUGCAUAAGGUCCUGGGUUUAAUCCUCAGCA
RNAcentral lists this transfer RNA (62 nucleotides) under Heterocephalus glaber (naked mole-rat). It matches the Rfam family "tRNA", at positions 6 to 65 of the family's 71-position model. From Rfam's summary of the family: Transfer RNA (tRNA) molecules are approximately 80 nucleotides in length. Their secondary structure includes four short double-helical elements and three loops (D, anti-codon, and T loops). Further hydrogen bonds mediate the characteristic L-shaped molecular structure. tRNAs have two regions of fundamental functional importance: the anti-codon, which is responsible for specific mRNA codon recognition, and the 3' end, to which the tRNAs corresponding amino acid is attached (by aminoacyl-tRNA synthetases). tRNAs cope with the degeneracy of the genetic code in two manners: having more than one tRNA (with a specific anti-codon) for a particular amino acid; and 'wobble' base-pairing, i.e. permitting non-standard base-pairing at the 3rd anti-codon position. Lineage: Eukaryota; Metazoa; Chordata; Mammalia; Rodentia; Bathyergidae. The record is from Rfam by way of RNAcentral.